CCUACGGGAGGCAGCAGUAGGGAAUCUUUCACAAUGGGCGAAAGCCUGAUGGAGCAACGCCGCGUGCAGGAUGAAGGCCUUCUGGUUGUAAACUGCUUUUAUAAGCGAGAAAUAUGAUGGUAACUUAUGAAUAAGGAUCGGCUAACUACGUUCCAGCAGCCGCGGUCAUACGUAGGAUCCGAGCAUUAUCCGGAGUGACUGGGUGUAAAGAGUUGCGUAUGUGGCAUAAUAAGUAGCUAGUGAAAUCUGGUGGCUCAACCAUUCAGACUAUUAGCUAAACUGUUAAGCUCGAGACCGUUAGGGGUAACUGGAAUGUCUAGUGUAGGAGUGAAAUCCGUAGAUAUUAGAAGGAACACCAAUAGCGUAGGCAGGUUACUGGGACGGGUCUGACACUAAGGCACGAAAGCGUAGGGAGCAAACGGGAUUAGAUACCCCAGUAGUC
RNAcentral lists this ribosomal RNA (442 nucleotides) under uncultured bacterium. RNAcentral's name for it is "partial 16S ribosomal RNA". It matches the Rfam family "Bacterial small subunit ribosomal RNA", at positions 338 to 795 of the family's 1533-position model. The record is from RNAcentral.